RNAcentral lists this ribosomal RNA (465 nucleotides) under uncultured bacterium. RNAcentral describes it as "partial 16S ribosomal RNA". It matches the Rfam family "Bacterial small subunit ribosomal RNA", at positions 28 to 507 of the family's 1533-position model. The record is from RNAcentral.
GACGAACGCUGGCGGCGUGCUUAACACAUGCAAGUCGAACGGAAAGGCCCCUUUGGGGGUACUCGAGUGGCGAACGGGUGAGUAACACGUGAGUAACCUGCCCUUGACUUCGGGAUAACUUCAGGAAACUGGGGCUAAUACCGGAUAGGAAUCCUUGCUGCAUGGUGGGGGUUGGAAAGCUUCGGCGGUUUUGGAUGGACUCGCGGCUUAUCAGCUUGUUGGUGGGGUAGUGGCUUACCAAGGCUUUGACGGGUAGCCGGCCUGAGAGGGCGACCGGCCACAUUGGGACUGAGAUACGGCCCAGACUCUUACGGGAGGCAGCAGGGGGGAAUAUUGCACAAGGGGCGGAAGCCUGAUGCAGCAACGCCGCGUGCGGGAUGACGGCCUUCGGGUUGUAAACCGCUUUCAGCAGGGGCGAAGCUUGUGGUGACGGUACCUGCAGAAGAAGCACCGGCUAACUACGUG